UAUGUCAUAAAAAGUAUUUUACGACGAAAAAAUUUGUCUAUGGUUACAAUCGAUAAGUUUGACAGCAAAAUACGAACAUAUUCAAUUGGCUAAAUUUUUGUUUUGAAUUAAAAUACAAAAAUUUGAAUUUUGAAACUCAUCUAAUUAAACACUUUAAGAUACACAAGUACAAAUAGUGCCUCAUUAUCAAUCAUGUGUGAAACCGAAAUCCGAGAGAAUUUAAUAGUUCCCGAGUAAGAAGCGUCGCGAUUUGUUAAAUAGUGUUAUGGUUUUUGAUAAAUACCACUUCAAAAGUAAGUGGGUGCUGCACUUAAAGGAUGUCGGAGAAUCUGAUGGACAUGGUCUUCACAACUGUGGGGGUAAUCCUGGUUAUGUUGCUGUUGAGUAUCCUUUGCUGCCUGCUUAUGAAGUUGAGUGACCUAAGACUGCAACGUUAUAUUGUGAAGACUGCAAAGCAAAAGGGCCUGAAUGUGGAUCUAGACAAACUAAGUCCAAGGUACUGCCCCCAAUCACCACUAGCUAAUGAAAACUGCACCAUCAUUGUACCUGAUGUUGCUAUUAUUAUGUAGAGGAUGAUUAUCAUUGGAUUUUUAAGAAAUCCUUAUCCUGGCUACAAGAGUGAUCGCAAAACAAGUAGUCUUACCCAAACUUGAGCAUGUAGCUCUGCAAUGUACAUAAGUGAGAUAUGAGUUUUCACUUCUUCAGACUUCAGAUUGGAUUGAUUAAAGAAUUUGUUGCACAUUAUAUGUAUGAGCUACGAUAAAAAAAAAACGCAAGGAACUCGAAGUUGACUGCAAUAUUCUACUUACUUUGAAACUACUAUGCUGUCUCUUGAGCAAAUAGUAAUUUUAUUAAUUAUAUCUACUGGAUUUCGAACGCACUGGACUUGAACACACGUUAACGACGAUCCGUAUUAUGCAGUCCCAUGCAUAAUCUAGAAGAAAAAGUGCUUGGGUUUUUAAAUCGCUAGCUUUUAAUUGUUUAAAAAUACUGAAUGGAUAUUAUUAUAAAUACUUUACUUUAUUAAGAAAUUCAACAGAAAUAGGUAGAAAUCUCACACUAGGCGGUGUGAGAUUUCUACCUAUGUUCACUUAUUUGAUCGCGUGUAAGUUAAUUACGAUUUCUAUGGUAUCGAAAGAUCGCCAUCUAGUUAAAUUUCUGGGAAACUGUAUUGCCAAUAGAUGGCGUAAUUUCCCGGGCACUUUCGGAGUAUUGGUGAAAAUUAUUUUAUAGUCAACUACUGAAGAUAGACUGUUAAUUCGUUAGUGUAUUCUUAUUUUUCACAGAUACUUUUUGAUGACUGACAUCUAUGAUCUAGUAUAUUAUUGUUGUAACCUUUACGCGCCAUUGAAGUAAAACUUUUAUAAUUAUUUAUU
Long non-coding RNA from Pararge aegeria (speckled wood butterfly), 1376 nucleotides. RefSeq lists it as uncharacterized. Lineage: Eukaryota; Metazoa; Arthropoda; Insecta; Lepidoptera; Nymphalidae. The transcript has 3 exons. The record is from RefSeq and is a predicted model, not a curated record.